This 119-nucleotide ribosomal RNA is filed under the name Pteropus alecto (black flying fox). The record is from RNAcentral. Lineage: Eukaryota; Metazoa; Chordata; Mammalia; Chiroptera; Pteropodidae.
GUCUACAGCCAUGCCACCCUGAACAUGACCGAUCUUGUCUGAUCUUGGAAGCUAAGCAGGGUUGGGCCUGAUUAGUGCUUGGAUGGGAGACCACCUAGGAAUACCAGGUGCUGUAGGCA